UGCCAAUCGUUUACGCCCCGUAGCGAACGAAACGCAAAUGUCUUUGUCGCACUAAUAUGGAAGAGUAAUGGAAAGAGAUGGCCGUAUCAUUUGCUACGGCGCAAACGAUUGGCAUCUUGGCUAGGCACCCUGUGCUCAAGACCCUCUAGCAAAAGGCGUGUCUUCUAGGAGUAAAUCCCUUACCAGAAUCUGCAUUUUGUGUCAAUCGCAUUUUUUUUGUAACUACCUAGUGUUUUUUUAAAGCCUUUUAUAUAUAACUCGUACACUCUUAUUUAUCUUUAGGUAUACUACGCUGACUUUGAGCAUCCAAACGUUACGUACUUCAAUUCUAAAUACUUGGAGUAUGCGAAACUCACAGCCCAGAGAUACAGCCGUCGAGAUCCCAUCCACUACAUAAACGUUCACGCAAAAUUGUUAAUUGACUUUGGGAAUGACAUUACAAUGACCUAUAAUGGUUACGAGUUCCUGAGCAACGAAUACCGCCCCGGCAUGUUUGUGAUGACUUUCCGGAUAUGCGAUUUUUUUUCAGAACCUAAAUAUGCCGUAUUUAAGCCUAUUUACAUAAAACAUAUUAACGGCUCAUUAUGCCCUUUUCCAAAGGGAGAGUAUAAGUUUUUAAACCUCUCUAUUCCUCCCGCUCUGAAUUUGCCGCUCCUCUCGACGUUUCCUUAUCAGAAGGGCCGCUUAUUCUUCAGCUUUGUGCGUGGCGGCGAGCGAGUGGCAGAUGGAUACCUUGAUGCAGCCAUCAAACAAAAGUUCAUAUGAAUGUGUAUGAAGAAGCCGGUUAAUAUAAACUUCACACCUUGGCAUGCAAUUUCAAUAUACAUGAUGUCAUGUGACUCCCACAGCUGAGACGUCUGAGGCUAAAUGCAUUUCAAAGUUUUUUUAAGUUUUUUUAUAUUUGCUCUAUAGAAUAAAAGAAGGUUCCAAAUUCAAAA
This is a long non-coding RNA of Cydia pomonella (codling moth), 938 nucleotides long. RefSeq lists it as uncharacterized. The transcript has 3 exons. Lineage: Eukaryota; Metazoa; Arthropoda; Insecta; Lepidoptera; Tortricidae. The record is from RefSeq and is a predicted model, not a curated record.